This 833-nucleotide ribosomal RNA is filed under the name Salmonella enterica subsp. enterica. RNAcentral's name for it is "partial 23S ribosomal RNA". It matches the Rfam family "Bacterial large subunit ribosomal RNA", at positions 711 to 1545 of the family's 2925-position model. The record is from RNAcentral. Lineage: Bacteria; Pseudomonadati; Pseudomonadota; Gammaproteobacteria; Enterobacterales; Enterobacteriaceae.
AGACCCGAAACCCGGUGAUCUAGCCAUGGGCAGGUUGAAGGUUGGGUAACACUAACUGGAGGACCGAACCGACUAAUGUUGAAAAAUUAGCGGAUGACCUGUGGCUGGGGGUGAAAGGCCAAUCAAACCGGGAGAUAGCUGGUUCUCCCCGAAAGCUAUUUAGGUAGCGCCUCGUGAAUUCAUCUCCGGGGGUAGAGCACUGUUUCGGCUAGGGGGCCAUCCCGGCUUACCAACCCGAUGCAAACUGCGAAUACCGGAGAAUGUUAUCACGGGAGACACACGGCGGGUGCUAACGUCCGUCGUGAAGAGGGAAACAACCCAGACCGCCAGCUAAGGUCCCAAAGUCAUGGUUAAGUGGGAAACGAUGUGGGAAGGCCCAGACAGCCAGGAUGUUGGCUUAGAAGCAGCCAUCAUUUAAAGAAAGCGUAAUAGCUCACUGGUCGAGUCGGCCUGCGCGGAAGAUGUAACGGGGCUAAACCAUGCACCGAAGCUGCGGCAGCGACACUGUGUGUUGUUGGGUAGGGGAGCGUUCUGUAAGCCUGCGAAGGUGUGUCGUGAGGCAUGCUGGAGGUAUCAGAAGUGCGAAUGCUGACAUAAGUAACGAUAAAGCGGGUGAAAAGCCCGCUCGCCGGAAGACCAAGGGUUCCUGUCCAACGUUAAUCGGGGCAGGGUGAGUCGACCCCUAAGGCGAGGCCGAAAGGCGUAGUCGAUGGGAAACGGGUUAAUAUUCCCGUACUUGGUGUUACUGCGAAGGGGGGACGGAGAAGGCUAUGUUGGCCGGGCGACGGUUGUCCCGGUUUAAGCGUGUAGGCUGGUUUUCCAGGCAAAUCCGG